GAGAAGGGCCAAAUUGCGUUGUCAUCAUAAACUAACUAGGUUCUCUAAAUGAAUUCUUUUUAGCUUGGGUAGCCAUAACAUACUGGUAGGUGUCACUCAUGGCUUGUAGAAGCCCUGUAAUGACUAAUUAUAAUUAGCCUUCCCCAAUAGGGAGAAUUGUAUGAAGGGAUAUAAUUCACACUUGAUUCAGAGUGAAUCAUUCAUGCCCACUGCCUCGCUAAUUAGAACCUAUAAGAUUGCAC
Molecule: long non-coding RNA, 242 nt
Filed under: Prunus persica (peach)
Lineage: Eukaryota; Viridiplantae; Streptophyta; Magnoliopsida; Rosales; Rosaceae
Description: long non-coding RNA (PPER_LNC008192)
Source: RNAcentral